Molecule: transfer-messenger RNA, 364 nt
Filed under: Borrelia hermsii
Lineage: Bacteria; Pseudomonadati; Spirochaetota; Spirochaetia; Spirochaetales; Borreliaceae
Also listed under: 2 other names
Description: Standard tmRNA
Rfam family: transfer-messenger RNA
About the family: Bacterial tmRNA, also known as 10Sa RNA or SsrA, is named for its dual tRNA and mRNA-like properties.
Source: RNAcentral
GGGGAUGUUUUGGAUUUGACUAAAAACUUUAGUAGCAUAAAUUGCAAGCAGAGGGAAUCUCUUAAAACUUCUUUAAUAAAUGCAAGAAAUAAUAACUUUACAAGUUCAAAUCUUGUAAUGGCUGCUUAAAUUAGCAGAGAGUUCUGCUGGAUUUUGCUUUGAGGUUCAGCUUAUACUCUUUUAAGACAUCAAAGCUUGCUUAAAAAUAUUUCAAGUUGAUUUUUAGGGACUUUUAAAUUUGAGAGUAAUUUGGCGGUUUGCUAGUUUUUCCAAACCUUAUUACUUAAAGAAAACACUAGCUAAGCUUGUAGAUAUUUAUGAUAUUAUUUUUAGGACGCGGGUUCAAUUCCCGCCAUCUCCAAUA